AUGUGUGCAUCUACCAACAUGGACAUAAUCAUCAGACAAGACGUCCUCCGAAUAUCUCUCUUUUUUAUGUGGACUGCAGGUCUUACUGAUGGCAGUGAAGUCACCCAGACUGCGCUGCUAUGGGAAGACCAGGGUGCCAAUGCAACGAUGAGCUGCAGCCACAUCAAGGGUAGCAGCUACUACCAGAUGUACUGGUACAGACUGCUGCCAGGAGAAACUAUGAAACAGAUCGUGUUCACAUCCUUAGGCAUGAAUCCUGAUUUUGGAGAUUUCAGCAGGGAGAAAUUUUCAGCCACCAAGCCUGACGCUGAGAGUGGGACGUUCACAGUGAAGAACCUGCAGCCGCAAGAUAAGGGCUUGUACUUCUGUUCUGUGAGCCAACACAGUGAUGCAGAUGCUCUCAAUAGCUCAACAAAAACCACAUGUUACAGACACAUUGACGUUGACACUGAACAACAGCCCCAGUGCGCUGUCGGCACAUCUGUGCUGUAG
Pungitius pungitius (ninespine stickleback) is the source of this 492-nucleotide non-coding RNA. The record is from the annotation of a RefSeq genome assembly. Lineage: Eukaryota; Metazoa; Chordata; Actinopteri; Perciformes; Gasterosteidae.